Molecule: ribosomal RNA, 459 nt
Filed under: uncultured bacterium
Lineage: Bacteria
Description: partial 16S ribosomal RNA
Rfam family: Bacterial small subunit ribosomal RNA
Source: RNAcentral
CCUACGUGAGGCAGCAGUGAGGAAUAUUGGUCAAUGGCCGUAAGGCUGAACCAGCCAAGUAGCGUGAGGGAAGACUGCCCUAUGGGUUGUAAACCUCUUUUAUGCGGGGAUAAAGGUGUCCACGUGUGGAUGUUUGCAGGUACCGCAUGAAUAAGUACCGGCUAAUUCCGUGCCAGCAGCCGCGGUAAUUCGGAAGGUCCGGGCGUGAUCCGGAUUUAUUUGGUUUAAAGGGAGCGUAGGCCGGUCUUUCAGCGUGCCGUGAAAUUUUGUGGCUCAACCAUGAGAGUGCGGCGCGAACUGGAGACCUUGAGGGCGCGGAAGGCAGGCGGAAUUCGUGGUGUAGCGGUGAAAUGCUUAGAUAUCACGAAGAACCCCGAUUGCGAAGGCAGCCGGCCGAAGCGGUACUGACGCUGAAGCUCGAAAGCGCGGGUAUCGAACAGGAUUAGAUACCCUUGUAUC